UACAGAGGUCCCAAGCGUUGUUCGGAUUCACUGGGCGUAAAGGGUGCGUAGGUGGUCGGGUAAGUCUGAUGUGAAAUCUCCAAGCUCAACUUGGAAACUGCAUCGGAUACUAUUCGGCUUGAGGGUUGGAGGGGGGACUGGAAUGCUUGGUGUAGCAGUGAAAUGCGUAGAUAUCUGGAGGAACACCGGUGGCGAAGGCGGCAUCCUGGACCGACACUGACGCUGAGGAGCGAAAGCCAGGGGAGCAAACGGG
This 253-nucleotide ribosomal RNA is filed under the name uncultured bacterium. Its description in RNAcentral is "partial 16S ribosomal RNA". It matches the Rfam family "Bacterial small subunit ribosomal RNA", at positions 524 to 776 of the family's 1533-position model. The record is from RNAcentral.